UAUCGGAACGUGCCUGGAGUGGGGGAUAACUAGUCGAAAGACUAGCUAAUACCGCAUACGAUCUACGGAUGAAAGUGGGGGAUCGCAAGACCUCAUGCUCGUGGAGCGGCCGAUAUCUGAUUAGCUAGUUGGUGGGGUAAAGGCCUACCAAGGCAUCGAUCAGUAGCUGGUCUGAGAGGACGACCAGCCACACUGGGACUGAGACACGGCCCAG
This 214-nucleotide ribosomal RNA is filed under the name uncultured bacterium. RNAcentral's name for it is "partial 16S ribosomal RNA". It matches the Rfam family "Bacterial small subunit ribosomal RNA", at positions 116 to 334 of the family's 1533-position model. The record is from RNAcentral.